GGCGGCGCCAUCUUGGACGCGCUGCGGCUCGGGCCAGGCGGGAGCGUCGCCUUCUUCUCGUCGGGUCGUCAGGACUCGCAGCCCGGCGCCCGCCCGCGGAGCGCCCCGAGAUGAUGCUGAGAGGAAACCUGAAGCAGGUGCGCAUCGAGAAGAACCCAGCCCGCCUGCGCGCGCUCGAGUCGGCGGCAGGCGACGGCGAGCCCGCGGGCUCCAUGGCGCUGCUGGCGGCCGAGCCGGCCGAGGAGCGUGCGGCCGACGAGGUGGGCUUCACCAUCGACAUCAAGAGCUUCCUCAAGCCGGGCGAGAAGACCUACACGCAGCGCUGCCGCCUCUUCGUGGGCAACCUGCCCACCGACAUCACCGAGGAUGACUUCAAGCGGCUGUUCGAGCGCUACGGCGAACCCAGCGAGGUUUUCAUCAACCGCGACCGCGGCUUCGGCUUCAUCCGCCUGGAAUCCAGGACACUGGCUGAAAUUGCAAAAGCCGAGCUGGAUGGCACCAUUUUGAAAAGCAGACCUCUUCGAAUCCGCUUUGCUACACAUGGAGCAGCUUUAACUGUUAAGAACCUUUCGCCAGUUGUUUCCAAUGAGCUUUUGGAACAAGCAUUUUCCCAGUUUGGUCCAGUAGAAAAAGCUGUUGUGGUUGUGGAUGAUCGAGGUAGAGCCACAGGAAAAGGUUUUGUGGAAUUUGCAGCAAAGCCUCCUGCAAGAAAGGCUCUGGAAAGGUGUGGUGAUGGGGCCUUCUUACUGACAACGACCCCACGUCCAGUUAUUGUGGAACCAAUGGAGCAGUUUGAUGAUGAAGAUGGGUUGCCAGAGAAGCUGAUGCAGAAAACACAACAAUAUCAUAAGGAAAGAGAACAGCCACCACGUUUUGCUCAACCUGGAACAUUUGAAUUUGAGUAUGCAUCUCGAUGGAAGGCUCUUGAUGAAAUGGAAAAGCAGCAGCGUGAACAGGUUGAUAGAAACAUCCGAGAAGCCAAAGAGAAACUGGAGGCAGAAAUGGAAGCUGCCAGGCAUGAACAUCAGUUAAUGCUAAUGAGGCAAGAUCUAAUGAGGCGUCAGGAGGAACUCAGACGUUUAGAAGAACUCAGAAACCAAGAGCUGCAAAAACGGAAGCAAAUACAACUUAGACAUGAAGAAGAGCAUCGUCGUCGUGAGGAAGAAAUGAUUCGACACAGAGAACAAGAGGAACUGAGGCGACAGCAAGAGGGUUUUAAGCCAAACUAUAUGGAGAAUGAUAAAAGACUACAUGGAUGAGGCUACCUGCUGAAAUUCAGCAGUCAGUGAGAAACAAGCUGAGAGGCAGCACGCUCGAGCCACAUUCCUCUCAGCCACCAGGUUCCAGAUGCCAUCAGGAUGCCAGCCAGGCUUCCCCGGACUGAAGACCCCACCAAUGCGUCCUGGAGCUCCACUUCCCCAGAAACUCUCCCUACUAGGGAAAGAGAGAGGCAGACUGGGAGUAUGGAUCAACCAGUCAACGCCCAUGUUCAAUGGGGAGGCAAUUACAGAAGCCAGACCUUCCACCUUCUGCAACCCACAACGACCCUGGGUCCAUGCUCCCAGAGGGAUAGAGAAUGGGAAAGCUAUUGGGGAGGGGAUGGGAUAUGGAGAUUGGGUGGUGGGAAUUGUGUGGAGUUAUACCCCUCCUACCCUAUGGUUUUGUUAAUUUAUCCUUUCUUAAAUAAAAAAUAAAUUAAAAAAGAAAAAGAGGUGCAAGGAGCCUUGAAGGUGGUUGAAGUGGUAGAGCUCUACUUAGAUUUAAGUAUUAGGUUCUGGGGAGGGGAGAAAGCAAAAUGGUUAUAAAUUGACUCUGAGCCUGAGGCUCCCAGGUCCCAGGUUCAGUCCUCUUAACCACCAUAAACCAGAGCUGAGCAGUGUUCUGGGGGAGGGAGACUUUAAAAAUUCUGAGUUUGAAUCCCAGCACUGCAUAUGCCAGAGUGCUGCUUUCCUUUCCGGCUUAUGAAAUGAAUUUUUAAAAUGUAUGUGUAUUGUGGUCCAGGGGGUAGUUCAGUGGGUAAAAUGUUGGGCUUUCAAGCAUGAGGUUCCAAGUUCAGUCCCUGGCAGCACAUGUACCAGAGUGUUACCCAAGUGUCUUUAACUCUUUCUGUCUCUCAUAUUAAUAAAUAAAAUCUUAAAAAAAAGUGUGUGGGGAGAGGCAGGCAGGAGAUGACAUAAUGGAUAAAAUGUUGGACUCUGAAGCAUGAGGUUCAGAGUUUAAUCCUCCAGUCUGGUUCUCUGUCCCUUCUUGUGUUAAUAAAUAAGUAAAUCUGAGAGGAAAGAGGGAAAAGGAGGAAGGGAAAGAAGAGGAAGUUGAGGAACAGUGAACCUUCCUCCAGUGUGGUGUGGGUUGGGCUACAUACAUGAGAGAAUUAUCUAGGGGAGCUAUAUAUAUAUAUAUAUAUAUUUUUUUUUUUUUUUUCAGGGGAGCUGUUUGCCAGGUCUUAUUUAUUUUACCAGAGCACUGCUCAGUUCUGGUUUAUGCUGGUAUGGGGCAUUGAACCUGGGACUUUGGAGCCUCAGGCAUAAGAGACUCUUUGGAUAACCAUUAUGCUAUCUACCCAUCCCCUAUUCUUGGUUUUUUUUUUUUUUUUUUUUUUUUUGCCAUUGGCACUACAAAUCCACAGCACCUGACAGCCUUUUUUUUUCUUUUCUAUUUUUUGAAGGACAAAAAGAAAUUGAGAGUGAAAAAGAUAAGAUACCUGCAUACCUGCUUCACCAAUCAAGGUCGAAAGUAGGGGCUCAAACCCAGGUCAUUGCACAUGGUAAUGUACACUUAACCAGGUGCACCACCAUUGCGUCUCCAUCAAUGUCUUAAUAAACCAGAUCCAGCCAGAGAGACUGGUGCCAUAUUUUCUCAUCAGCACAAAAAUUCAUGGGAGAUGGUGCAGUGAACAAAUCAUUGAACUCUCAAGUAUGAGGUCCUAAGUUCAAUCACCAGCAGAACAUGUACCAGAAUGAAGUCUGGUUCUUUCUCUCUCUUCCUCAAUAGUAAAUAAAAUUUUUUAAUUUAUUCCCUUUUUGUUGCCCUUGUUUCCAUUGUUGUUGUAGUUAUUAUUGCUGUUGAUGUCAUCAUUGUUCGAUAGGACAGAAAGAAAUGGAGAGAGAAGGGGAAGACAGAGAGAGGGAGAGAAAGAUAGACACCUGCAGACCUGCUUCAUCGCCUGUGAAGCGACUCCUCUGCAGUAGGGAGCCGGGGGCUCGAACCGGGAUCUUUGUGCCGGUCCCUGCGCUUUGCGCCAUGUCCACUUAACCUGCUGCGCUACAGGAGCAGACACCUGCAGACCUGCUUCACCACUUGUGACGCAAACCUCCCCUGCAGGUGGGGAACUGGGGGCUCAAACUGGGAUCCUUGCGCUGGUCCUUGCGCUUCAUACCAUAUGCACUCAACCCACUGCGCUACUGCCCGACCCCUGAUGAUGAUUUUGUUAAUUUUUCUGCAAGUGUGUUUCUUGCCUGAGUUUCUUGAAGUACAGAUGUUCAGGCCUGUGUUAGCAAGAGCCCAGGGCAUCUGCAGGCAUCUGAGUGGAAGCACCAAUGUCCCCCCACUUCACCAGGUGUUGCCUAUUACAAAUACCUGGCACCUCAUGCAGCAGAAUGAAUGGCUGUUCUGCUUUAAACAAGCUGUUAAGCCUUGUUCCCCAGGCUGGUCUCCUAACCAGGCCGCAGAGUGCAUGCUUCCCCUGUAGAGACCGUGGGCUGUUGACAAGCCCUGUGACUGAACCAGUUUUAGCAUUGUCUUUUUUAGAUUUUCAUGCCUGAUGCUCAAAAAGUUCAAUCUCCAGCACCACCAUAAACCAGAGCUGAGCAGUACUCUGGUAAAACACAAAAAUGUGUCUAUAGACAGUGAUUUUGUGUUAUUUAAAUUUGAAAUUGCUUUAUAUGUUGAUCCCUUAAAUAGAAUGUGACGAAAAUCUCACAAUAAACUGCUAAACAAAUUAGAGGGAUGCCGACAUGAAAGACCUGAAAAGCCUUUCAGAAGGGGGAUUUGUCAGUCACUGGAGCUUUAGUUUCCACAUUACUUUUGUUAAAGUGAUAUGCUUUAUUUAUUCAAAAUAUGUCCUGUUAGAGAUUUUAUUUUUCUAGUUAGUGAAAAGAAUUGGUUCAUUCCAGAAAGAUAAUUUUAUUAACUUAGAAAAAUAAGAUGUCUGGUAUUAAAUGAUUACCCUAUACUUUGAGAUAGUAAGAUUCUAUUAACAGGAUGUGACAGGGCAGUUCAUUCCCUAACUUCAGGUCAUCUUUGAGAUUUUCUCAGCUGGACGUUCCCAGGUGAUGCUAUUUCUUGAAUAUUUAGGUAUACUAUUCAACAUUUAAUUUUUUUAAAAUUUUAUUUGUGAGAAAGGGGAGAGUAAGAACCAGAAAUCACUCUGGUACAUACAUUACCAGGGAUUGAACUCAUGCUCAAGAAGAGUUCAGUGCUUUAGCCACUGCUCUACCUUCUAGACCACCACCUUAACAAAUUCUUCUAUGUUAAUGUGCUUACUAACAUGUACUCUUUUUUCUCUUAGAAGAAAUUUUGUGGCAGAAAUGCAUUUACUGACCUGGAGAAACAAGUCUUUCUUCAUUUGCUCUCAGGCCUCACCAUACAAACACAAGGAUGCAGAGCAGCACUCUGGCAUGUGUUGCUUGGGACAAAACUCAGGAUCUCUGCUACCAGUCUUGCCUUCUACCAGACUGCUACUUUAAGGACAAAGUUUUACGUUUCCAAUAUGUGGCCUUGUGUCUUAUUUUCAUUAAGAUGUGUGGCUUACAGUGUAGCUUUCCUAAGGAUGUGGUGGCUGGGAAGAUUGUGGCAGCAACCAGAUAAUUACCCCUUCACCUCCCUGUUGAAGCACCAGUAGAGGGCUUGUUUCAUUUCUUACCCUGUCACUUGCAGUUGUCUAUAAUACUCACUCAAAAUUUGGCAGUGAGAAAAAUUGUUUUGAGGAGCCAGGCAGUGGUACACCUGGCUGAGCACACACAACACUGUGCGCAAGGACCCAGGUUCAGGUCCCUGGUCCCCACCUGCAGCGGGAAAGCUUCAUGAGUGGUAAAGCAGGACUGCAGGUGUCUCUUUCCCUUUCCCCUCUCAAUUUCUGUCUCUAAUAAGUAAAUAGUAAGCUGAACCCCUAAGAAAGUGAAUGAUGGGGGAGUGAAGUCAGAAGUACGCAGAUAAGGUUGUGUUGAGAUUCCACUUGCGGCUCUUGAGUACUUCAGGAUAAUUGUUUCUGUUUAUUUUCCCUUUUUUUUAAAAUUGUUGUAGUUAUUGAUGUCAUCAUUGUUAGAUAGGCCAGAGAGAAAUGGAGAGAGGAGGGGAAGACAGAGGGGUAGAGACUUGCUUCACUGCUUGUGAAGUGACCACCCUGCAAGUGGGGAGCCAGGGGUUCGAAACAGGAUCCUUAUGCCGAUCUUUGUGUUUCAUCUGCUGUGCGACUGCCUGACUCACCUGGAUUUUUUUUUUAAAGAUAUAUUUAGUUGUUUACUUUAAUACGACAUAGAGGUAUUCAGGGUUAGGGGCACUGCUCUGGUGCUUGCAGAACUUCCCCCUGUAGGUGGGGAGCAGGAUCUUCACCCCCCAGAGGUCCUUGUGAACUAGAUAUACCCCACCCUGGGAUUUUGAUUGUUUUGAGCCAUCACUUCAGUUCACACCAAUUUGUGUGGUUCUAAUCCCAGAUUUGAUGUUUACCUAUAAGACAGAAGUGUGAAUUCCAGCAUGGGAUUCUAUUUACUUAGCAGAGAUUGGGUACCAAUUAACUUUUAAAACUUUAGUGCUUCUUUAAUGAAAUAACAUGCUUUUUUUUUUAUUCUGGUGUGUUUUUCCUCAUGUCAUUUUACCUCCUAUCUUUCAUUAACAUUCUGAAUGCUGUGCUGUAUGUACCCUUAACUUUGCAAACUACUGUUAAGUGAGUAGACUGGAAAAUUGCAAAUUGUGACAUUCCACUGACAAGUCCUACAGGUCUAUUAACUCAAGAUGAGGCUUGAGGAAAGAACGGUCUGAAAUCUCUAAGUUUUCAUAUAGGUAGAAGGAAUAUAUAUUAUGCUUUUUAUUCAAAGCUCAGAUGAAUUUAAAGAUGUGUUUUUUGCUGCUCAGUGAGUGGACAAAAUGACACAUCCCAUUCCCCAUGCUUCUCCCAGCCACCUGGGUGUAGUGGGUGUCGCCUCCUGCCUUGGGGAGCUUAUGUGUUGAGUGUAUCUGUACACCAUUUUGUAAGGUGCUGCUUAUGAAUUGUUUAUUUUCUAGAGAAAUCAUUGCUCAUACUUUGUUCAGCAUAACCUGCCAAUCUGAUGGGUUGGCAGCCUCACUUAGAGACUGAAAAGUUCUCUGGAAUUGCCUAUUCAAGUUCUUCAGAAACAAGAACUUAUAGCAAAAUACACAAAAUUAUUUAUGCAAAGCAAACUUUCCAUUCUUGCUGUCUUGUCAGGUUUUCUUUUUCUAAAUCUUUUUUUUCUUCAUGCUUUAUUAUCUUUAUUUAUUGGAUAGAGACAGGCAGAAAUGAAGAGAGGAGUCAGAGACACACCUGCAGACCUGCUUCACCAUUUGUGAAACUUUUCCCCUGCAGGUGGGUACUGGGGGCUUGAACCCAAGUCCUUGCACAUUGUAACAUGUGCGCUCAAUCAGAUGCACCACCACCCAGCUCCUGUCAGUUUUUUCUUUUUUUAAACUUUUUGUUUUUUAAAUUUACUUAUUUCUUUUGUUGCCCUUGCUUUUUUUUGUUGUUGUAGUAGUUAUUAUUGAUGUCAUCGUUGUUGGAUAGGACAGAGAGAAAUGGAGAGAGGAGGGGAAGACAGAGAGGGGGACAGACACCUGCAGACCUGCUUCACCACCUGUGAAGUGACUCCCCUGCAGGUGGGGAGCCGGGGGCUUGAACCGGGAUCCUUACCCUCCUCCUUGUGCUUAGUGCCACCUGCGCUUAACCCGCUGUGCUACCGCCCGACUCCCCAGUUUUUUCUUAUCACUCAUCCUAAACUGUUAAAUUUUCUACUUGGUCUUUACCCCAGAGUCUGGCCUUUUUUUUAAACAUUUUUUAAUAUUUAUUUUCCCUUUUGUUGCCCCCCUUUUUAAAAUUGUAGUUAUUGUUGAUGUCGUUGUUGGAUAGGAUGGAGAGAAAUGGAGAGAGGAGGGGAAGGCAGAG
Molecule: RNA transcript, 7111 nt
Organism: Erinaceus europaeus (western European hedgehog)
Lineage: Eukaryota; Metazoa; Chordata; Mammalia; Eulipotyphla; Erinaceidae
Gene: PSPC1
Gene name: paraspeckle component 1
Exons: 8
Source: RefSeq, a predicted model, not a curated record